This 594-nucleotide long non-coding RNA is filed under the name Panax ginseng (ginseng). RNAcentral describes it as "long non-coding RNA (PGIN_LNC015859)". The record is from RNAcentral. Lineage: Eukaryota; Viridiplantae; Streptophyta; Magnoliopsida; Apiales; Araliaceae.
UCGAUUAGAUGAGAUGAGAUGAGAUCCAUCUUCGGAUUUCUGUGGUUGCUGUCAAGCCCCAAUAGCUGGAAUCAAAAUUCAAUGAUUGAUCUCCAAAGCAUUGUCAUCUCAGUGCCAUACAUUCAGUUGGUCUGCUGCAAGAUAAACAAUUUCAAAUGGUUCAAAAGUGAUAAAGAUCAUGUGGUAAAUAAUAUAAAACCAAGAACCAUAUCAUUUAAGAAGAUUCCCCAACUGGAAAAAUUUCCUUCUUCAUGGAAGUUCAUACGUACCCACAUAUCUCUAAACAAAUUUUGUAUGCAGUUGAUUGGAUUCAAAAGAAUCAAAGGGUCCAGUAAUUACAUAAUAUAUAGUCAUUUUUCUACAUAUUGGAAACUUUUGACUUGAAAGAGGAUGAUCCGGUCUCAAGAGUCACAGGAAGCAGAUAUUUUCUUCACCUAGUUUAUGCUUCUUUAAUUGCUGUACAGGUACUAUUAUUAGUCCUUACUGGCAAGCUCAUACUUGAAAUUCAAACAAGAAUAUAAUUAUUAACAAGUUCUAUGAUAUAUGUGGCCCAAAUGUUUGAAAAACAAGAAAAAGAAUGGUUAUUUCAAGUAC